ACGCGAAGAACCUUACCAGGUCUGGACAUCCUCUGACACUCCUAGAGAUAGGACGUUCCCCUUCGGGGGACAGAGUGACAGGUGGUGCAUGGUUGUCGUCAGCUCGUGUCGUGAGAUGUUGGGUUAAGUCCCGCAACGAGCGCAACCCUUGUUCUUAGUUGCCAGCAUUCAGUUGGGCACUCUAAGGAGACUGCCGGUGACAAACCGGAGGAAGGUGGGGAUGACGUCAAAUCAUCAUGCCCCUUAUGACCUGGGCUACACACGUGCUACAAUGGAUGGUACAAAGGGCUGCAAGACCGCGAGGUUUAGCCAAUCCCAUAAAACCAUUCUCAGUUCGGAUUGUAGGCUGCAACUCGCCUACAUGAAGCCGGAAUCGCUAGUAAUCGCGGAUCAGCAUGCCGCGGUGAAUACGUUCCCGGGCCUUGUACACACCGCCCGUCACACCACGAGAGUUUGUAACACCCGAAGUCGGUGGGGUAACCGUAAGGAGCCAGCCGCCUAAGGUGGGACAGAUGAUUGGGGUG
RNAcentral lists this ribosomal RNA (524 nucleotides) under uncultured soil bacterium. Its description in RNAcentral is "bacterial SSU rRNA". It matches the Rfam family "Bacterial small subunit ribosomal RNA", at positions 959 to 1482 of the family's 1533-position model. The record is from RNAcentral.